UUAAAUUGAAGAGUUUGAUCAUGGCUCAGAUUGAACGCUGGCGGCAGGCCUAACACAUGCAAGUCGAACGGUAACAGGAAGCAGCUUGCUGCUUCGCUGACGAGUGGCGGACGGGUGAGUAAUGUCUGGGAAACUGCCUGAUGGAGGGGAUAACUACUGGAAACGGUAGCUAAUACCGCAUAACGUCGCAAGACCAAAGAGGGGGACCUUCGGGCCU
This 217-nucleotide ribosomal RNA is filed under the name Microbacterium sp. SUBG005. Its description in RNAcentral is "partial 16S ribosomal RNA". It matches the Rfam family "Bacterial small subunit ribosomal RNA", at positions 1 to 215 of the family's 1533-position model. The record is from RNAcentral. Lineage: Bacteria; Bacillati; Actinomycetota; Actinomycetes; Micrococcales; Microbacteriaceae.